Molecule: ribosomal RNA, 531 nt
Filed under: uncultured bacterium
Lineage: Bacteria
Description: bacterial SSU rRNA
Rfam family: Bacterial small subunit ribosomal RNA
Source: RNAcentral
AGAGUUUGAUCAUGGCUCAGGACGAACGCUGACGGUGUGCUUUAGACAUGCAAGUCGAACGAGAAAGCCCUUCGGGGUGAGUAGAGUGGCGAACGGGUGAGUAACACGUGGGUAACCUGCCCCUCGCAGAGGGAUAACCGGGGGAAACCCCGGCUAAUACCUCGUACGCUUGCCGGGCCGCAUGGCUUGGCAAGGAAAGGUAGCUUCGGCCAUCCGGCGAGGGAUGGGCCCGCGGUCCAUUAGCUAGUUGGUGAGGUAACGGCCCACCAAGGCGACGAUGGAUAGCUGGUCUGAGAGGAUGAUCAGCCACACUGGGACUGAGACACGGCCCAGACUCCUACGGGAGGCAGCAGUCGGGAAUCUUGCGCAAUGGGCGAAAGCCUGACGCAGCAACACCGUGUGGGCGACGAAGGCCUUCGGGUCGUAAAGCCCUGUUGUUGGGGACGAAGGACGAAGGGUUAAUAGCCCCUAGUCUGACGGUACCCUUCGAGGAAGCCCCGGCUAACUACGUGCCAGCAGCGGCGGUAAUAC